RNAcentral lists this ribosomal RNA (253 nucleotides) under uncultured bacterium. RNAcentral describes it as "partial 16S ribosomal RNA". It matches the Rfam family "Bacterial small subunit ribosomal RNA", at positions 524 to 776 of the family's 1533-position model. The record is from RNAcentral.
GACGAACCGAGCGAGCGUUGUUCGGAAUCACUGGGCUUAAAGGGCGCGUAGGCGGGCUGCCGCGUCCGGGGUGAAAUGCCACGGCUCAACCGUGGAAGGGCCUCGGAUACGGGCUGUCUCGAGGGGGGUAGGGGCAUCGGGAACUGUGAGUGUAGCGGUGAAAUGCGUUGAUAUUCACAGGAACUCCGGUGGCGAAGGCGCGGUGCUGGACCCCAUCUGACGCUGAGGCGCGAAAGCCAGGGGAGCAAACGGG